CAGUAGCCGCGGGAAUACGUAGGGUGCAAGCGUUAAUCGGAAUUACUGGGCGUAAAGCGUGCGCAGGCGGUUUGUUAAGACAGAUGUGAAAUCCCCGGGCUCAACCUGGGAACUGCAUUUGUGACUGGCAAGCUAGAGUGUGGCAGAGGGGGGUGGAAUUCCGCGUGUAGCAGUGAAAUGCGUAGAUAUGCGGAGGAACACCGAUGGCGAAGGCAGCCCCCUGGGCCAACACUGACGCUCAUGCACGAAAGCGUGGGGAGCAAACAGGAUUAGAUACCCCCGUAGUCCCUGUCUCUUAUCC
This 301-nucleotide ribosomal RNA is filed under the name uncultured bacterium. RNAcentral's name for it is "partial 16S ribosomal RNA". It matches the Rfam family "Bacterial small subunit ribosomal RNA", at positions 509 to 809 of the family's 1533-position model. The record is from RNAcentral.